GCUCAGCAUGCUGUAGGACAGAAAGAGCACAGACAGCAAGAGACCUGAGAGGCUGAAGGAGCCCUGUGGAAGGGAGGCUCUUGGACUUAGCAGAAAUCACACAGGAACAGAUGUGUCCCUGCCCAACUUUCUCUCCAGAGGAGCCCCAAACCUGAAGAAAUUUGACAGUUCUUCCCAGUCGCCCAGCCAGACUCAACUUGAAAGCCCCACCGACGGAGUCAUCAGGAGAGUCCCGGACUCUGCAGCCUUCAGCCCUGACCACCUGGCCACACUGUGCCUGGGAGGCCCCUCAGGGGCCACCCCUCAUCUCUAUGCAUGUCAUCAGGAGAGCUCCUGCCCUGGACUUCAACCGCAUUUGGAUGUUAAAAAAACUACAGAUGGCAUUGUGGUUCCAGGCUAAUUGCACCAUAUUUAUCCAAUAAUCGAUUCUCAUUAUGCACUCGUCAAACGCUUAUGGAAACAAGUGGCUGCUCUGUCCCUAUGCCUGUAAGGUCUGGUUCAUAAAAAUGGACCAAAAACCCCCCAAACAAACAAACAAACAACAACAACAAACUAAAAAGAGGAAAACUGUUAGGCUGAGAGUGGUCUUGGGACCAGGAGGCAGGACGUAAAAGGGAAGAAGCAGCCUGUCCAGUCUCUGGACUACCCUACCCUUGACUGCUGCCCCGCCCU
Molecule: long non-coding RNA, 672 nt
Filed under: Mustela putorius furo (domestic ferret)
Lineage: Eukaryota; Metazoa; Chordata; Mammalia; Carnivora; Mustelidae
Description: lncRNA (ENSMPUG00000031183.1)
Source: RNAcentral